RNAcentral lists this small RNA (181 nucleotides) under Arabidopsis thaliana (thale cress). Its description in RNAcentral is "ATSL080280". The record is from RNAcentral. Lineage: Eukaryota; Viridiplantae; Streptophyta; Magnoliopsida; Brassicales; Brassicaceae.
AUGUAGAAAAUUACAAUCGGACAUUUCUGGAGUUUGUGUGCCCAUUAGUAUCCUCCAACAAAACCGGCUUAACAAUAUACGGUAAACAACAAACGAAUGAAAAUUAAGCGAUAAAGAAAACGCUUAGUUUGCUAAACCAUCAGCAAAAGUGAAGUUUGAGCUCGGUAAGAUCACUUAAAAG